AGUGAACGCUGGCGGUAGGCCUAAUACAUGCAAGUCGAACGGACACACAGUAAGCGCUUGCUCCUAAGGGUGGCGGGUGGCGGACGGGUGAGGCAUACAUCGGAAUCUAAUUUUUCUGGGAUGAUAACGGAGGGCAACUGACACUAAUAGAGCAUAUGUCGUACGGGUGAGAGCAGUGGAGCUUGGCGGCUUUCGCGACUGUAUGAGCCGGUGUCGGAUUAGCUAGUUGGCGGGGUAAGGGCCUACCAAGGCAACGAUACGUAGCUGGUCUGAGAGGAUGAUCAGCCACACUGGAACUGAGACACGGUCCAGACUCCUACGGGAGGCAGCAGUAGGGAAUAUUGGACAAUGGGCGCAAGCCUGAUCCAGCCACGCCGCGUGAGUGAAGAAGGCCUUCGGGUUGUAAAGCUCUGUUGUUGGGAAAGAAAAGCAGCAUGAGAAACCACGCCUGUUCUGACGGUACCCAAAGAGUAAGCCCCGGCUAACUUCGUG
RNAcentral lists this ribosomal RNA (492 nucleotides) under uncultured bacterium. Its description in RNAcentral is "partial 16S ribosomal RNA". It matches the Rfam family "Bacterial small subunit ribosomal RNA", at positions 29 to 507 of the family's 1533-position model. The record is from RNAcentral.